CCUACGGGAGGCAGCAGUGAGGAAUAUUGGUCAAUGGACGAGAGUCUGAACCAGCCAAGUAGCGUGAAGGAUGAAGGUCCUACGGAUUGUAAACUUCUUUUAUAAGGGAAUAAAACCUCCCACGUGUGGGAGCUUGUAUGUACCUUAUGAAUAAGCAUCGGCUAACUCCGUGCCAGCAGCCGCGGUAAUACGGAGGAUGCGAGCGUUAUCCGGAUUUAUUGGGUUUAAAGGGUGCGUAGGUGGUGAUUUAAGUCAGCGGUGAAAGUUUGUGGCUCAACCAUAAAAUUGCCGUUGAAACUGGGUUACUUGAGUGUGUUUGAGGUAGGCGGAAUGCGUGGUGUAGCGGUGAAAUGCAUAGAUAUCACGCAGAACUCCGAUUGCGAAGGCAGCACACUAAGCCGUAACUGACGUUCAUGCUCGAAAG
Molecule: ribosomal RNA, 424 nt
Filed under: uncultured Ruminococcus sp.
Lineage: Bacteria; Bacillati; Bacillota; Clostridia; Eubacteriales; Oscillospiraceae
Description: bacterial SSU rRNA
Rfam family: Bacterial small subunit ribosomal RNA
Source: RNAcentral